CCACAUAUAAAUGUGCCUGAGAUAUUUUAGAGUUCAGUCUCUUAAAACAAUAAAAGAAGCAGCUACAUUUUAUUUUAAUCUUUAAAAACAAGAAAUAAGUUAUUAGCUUAAGAGCUACGUUUAGUUUAAUUUAAUAACCCACGGUUCUAGUGUAAAAAGGGUUAAAUCCCGGGUGAGCUGAAGGCAUCACUCUCAGCCAAUGAGCUGCGGCUAAACGCUGCAUGUCCCGCCCAUCUUCUCUGUCUCGGACUGCAGGCCCUCGUUAGUCCUUUUCGGCUGCAGAACACGAUCAGAACACCAGCGGAGAAAGUAGGCACGGCGUUUCGGAAAAAAAAGAGGUACAAAAUGAAGUGUUAGAUGUCUUUGCGAAUGUUAAACAUAAUUUUAUGCAUGUUUACUCCUAAAGAGCCAUAGGUUAAAAGAUAUUUAUUAGUUUCGGUUAUUUUUACACUUCUAGUUGUAGAAGGCCAGAGCUUAGAGGCGGCGCCAUUUUAUGCUGUUGUGCUGCCCAUUCGUGGAAUCGGUCAGGUUUUUUGUGACAUAUGAACAUUCUGAUGUUGAUGGCGAGCCAGUCCCGUGGAUGAACCAGAUCAGCAGCGACUUCCUCCAUCCUUGCUGCACGGUGGAGUGUGGUAGGAGUGAAAAAAAAAAGAAAAAAACCAAAGGGAUCCCACCACGCCAAUUCCCUCUCCUUGCAUCUUUUACGUACACCUACAUAUUCCCUUGGACUCUUGGACAUCCCGCCUUAUUAUUUAGGACUAUUUUCUUUUUGUUUUGGACUAUCCACAUCGUUACACGAGGACUGAUUUGGUGUGUUUCAGGUCGGAGCCAUUCCAACAAAAGUUGAGGUUUUGUUGCAGGAAGCUGAAAAUUUUACCCUGUCAGACAGACAUUGUAUGUUGAACUGGUACUGAUCCAAUCUGAAAGAUUGAGUUACUAAAAAGGGUGCACCCAGAGAAAAAAAAAACAAUUGUUGCGAUUGUGAAAAGAUAUUGCCACUCCGAAAUUGUUGGUAUCAAAGGAAAAGACAUAUUUCGGACCGAAAUAGUUUUAUUUAAUUUUUCUUUUAAAUUUGCUUCAUUAAAUUUGUCCAGCUGGCAUUUCUAAAAUAUUGGAAGUACUGUCCUGAGUCUCAUUCCUUUUUCACCUCUUCUAUGAGUAGCCGAACCUACUGGUCCGAACCCUUUUUGAGUAUAAUUACUUUAGUGAGGUAAAUCUGAAAUCGAGUCACAAGUAAUUCUGAGAGAGUGUUACAGGUGGC
Molecule: non-coding RNA, 1261 nt
Organism: Nothobranchius furzeri (turquoise killifish)
Lineage: Eukaryota; Metazoa; Chordata; Actinopteri; Cyprinodontiformes; Nothobranchiidae
Source: RefSeq, a predicted model, not a curated record